CCUAAAUAAAACAUAAAGCGGGUGCACUCCAAAAGCAAGGAUGCCGUUAACUAGCCAGUUGGUUAGCCGGAGAUGGUUAAUUACAUAUUGAUAAAUGAUGAUGCUUGUACUUCGGAUUGGGUUUCUUCGUUGUGCCUCGUACUGUAAGCAGCAGCAAGGGUGGCUGUCCAACGCAAAACCUCUAAGGAUAACAGCCUACACAUUGCGAGCACGGAGCUUUAUAGACACUCUGAUCAUCAGCGAGGGAGACAUUAUCAUCGGCAACGGAGGCACGAUUAGGCGAUGGCCACCAUGUAAUUCAAAAAAGGUCUGUUAUGUGUGAAAUCUGUGCCAUACUCAGGAGUUA
Long non-coding RNA from Polyodon spathula (Mississippi paddlefish), 346 nucleotides. RefSeq lists it as uncharacterized. NCBI's taxonomy places the organism in Eukaryota, Metazoa, Chordata, Actinopteri, Acipenseriformes, Polyodontidae. The record is from RefSeq and is a predicted model, not a curated record. The transcript has 3 exons.